RNAcentral lists this ribosomal RNA (468 nucleotides) under uncultured bacterium. RNAcentral's name for it is "partial 16S ribosomal RNA". It matches the Rfam family "Bacterial small subunit ribosomal RNA", at positions 28 to 507 of the family's 1533-position model. The record is from RNAcentral.
GACGAACGCUGGCGGCGUGCUUAACACAUGCAAGUCGAACGGAAAGGCCCUGCUUUUGUGGGGUGCUCGAGUGGCGAACGGGUGAGUAACACGUGAGUAACCUGCCCUUGACUUUGGGAUAACUUCAGGAAACUGGGGCUCAUACCGGAUAGGAGCUCCUGCAGCAUGGUGGGGGUUGGAAAGUUUCGGCGGUUGGGGAUGGACUCGCGGCUUAUCAGCUUGUUGGUGGGGUAGUGGCUUACCAAGGCUUUGACGGGUAGCCGGCCUGGGAGGGUGGCCGGCGACAUUAGGACUGAGGUAGGGCGCAGACUCGUACGGGAGGCAGCAGGGGGGAGUAUUGCACAAUGAGCGGAAGCCUGAUGCAGCAACGCCGCGUGCGGGAUGACGGCCUUCGGGGUGUAAACCGCUUUCGCAUGUGACGAAGCGUGAGUGACGGUAAUGAGUAAAGAAGCACCGGCUAACUACGUG